This 482-nucleotide ribosomal RNA is filed under the name uncultured bacterium. RNAcentral's name for it is "partial 16S ribosomal RNA". It matches the Rfam family "Bacterial small subunit ribosomal RNA", at positions 30 to 507 of the family's 1533-position model. The record is from RNAcentral.
AUUGAACGCUGGCGGCAUGCCUUACACAUGCAAGUCGAACGGUAACGGGCCUUCGGGUGCCGACGAGUGGCGAACGGGUGAGUAAUACAUCGGAACGUGCCCGAUCGUGGGGGAUAACGAGGCGAAAGCUUUGCUAAUACCGCAUACGAUCUACGGAUGAAAGCAGGGGUCCGCAAGGCCUUGCGCGGACGGAGCGGCCGAUGGCAGAUUAGGUAGUUGGCGGGAUAAAAGCUUACCAAGCCGACGAUCUGUAGCUGGUCUGAGAGGAUGAUCAGCCACACUGUGACUGAGACACGGCCCAGACUCUUACGGGAGGCAGCAGUGGGGAAUUUUGGACAAUGGGCGCAAGCCUGAUCCAGCCAUGCCGCGUGCAGGAUGAAGGCCUUCGGGUUGUAAACUGCUUUUGUACGGAACGAAAAGCCUUCUUUUAAUACAGGAGGGUCAUGACGGUACCGUAAGAAUAAGCACCGGCUAACUACGUG